This 953-nucleotide ribosomal RNA is filed under the name human gut metagenome. Its description in RNAcentral is "bacterial SSU rRNA". It matches the Rfam family "Bacterial small subunit ribosomal RNA", at positions 8 to 942 of the family's 1533-position model. The record is from RNAcentral.
AGAGUUUGAUCCUGGCUCAGGAUGAACGCUGGCGGCGUGCCUAAUACAUGCAAGUCGAACGCACAGCGAAAGGUGCUUGCACCUUUCAAGUGAGUGGCGAACGGGUGAGUAACACGUGGACAACCUGCCUCAAGGCUGGGGAUAACAUUUGGAAACAGAUGCUAAUACCGAAUGAAACUUAGUGUCGCAUGAUACGAAGUUAAAAGGCGCUUUGGCGUCACCUAGAGAUGGAUCCGCGGUGCAUUAGUUAGUUGGUGGGGUAAAGGCCUACCAAGACAAUGAUGCAUAGCCGAGUUGAGAGACUGAUCGGCCACAUUGGGACUGAGACACGGCCCAAACUCCUACGGGAGGCUGCAGUAGGGAAUCUUCCACAAUGGGCGAAAGCCUGAUGGAGCAACGCCGCGUGUGUGAUGAAGGCUUUCGGGUCGUAAAGCACUGUUGUAUGGGAAGAACAGCUAGAAUAGGGAAUGAUUUUAGUUUGACGGUACCAUACCAGAAAGGGACGGCUAAAUACGUGCCAGCAGCCGCGGUAAUACGUAUGUCCCGAGCGUUAUCCGGAUUUAUUGGGCGUAAAGCGAGCGCAGACGGUUGAUUAAGUCUGAUGUGAAAGCCCGGAGCUCAACUCCGGAAUGGCAUUGGAAACUGGUUAACUUGAGUGUUGUAGAGGUAAGUGGAACUCCAUGUGUAGCGGUGGAAUGCGUAGAUAUAUGGAAGAACACCAGUGGCGAAGGCGGCUUACUGGACUGUAACUGACGUUGAGGCUCGAAAGUGUGGGUAGCAAACAGGAUUAGAUACCCUGGUAGUCCACACCGUAAACGAUGAACACUAGGUGUUAGGAGGUUUCCGCCUCUUAGUGCCGAAGCUAACGCAUUAAGUGUUCCGCCUGGGGAGUACGACCGCAAGGUUGAAACUCAAAGGAAUUGACGGGGGCCCGCACAAGCGGUGGAGCAUGU